Molecule: long non-coding RNA, 577 nt
Organism: Poecilia latipinna (sailfin molly)
Lineage: Eukaryota; Metazoa; Chordata; Actinopteri; Cyprinodontiformes; Poeciliidae
Exons: 2
Source: RefSeq, a predicted model, not a curated record
GGUUUUCCAGAGAGAAGCAACCGGCAGGAAGAGACGCACUUUGACCUCUGACCCCAUCUGGACCGUCUUCCUGGAUGUGGCGCCUCCUACUGAAAACAAGGAGGGAAGAAAAGAAGAUGGAAGCAGAAACAAACAUGUUGGACUGAUUGUUGGAGCCGUUCUGAUGGUUUCACUGGUUACUGGGUUGGUUCUUCGUCUUUAUUUAAUGAAGCAGAAGAUGAACAGAUCACCAGACCCACAGUGAGGGUUGUGGUUGUUCCAGUUCAGAUCCCCAACCUUCAUCCUCAGGGUCCAACGUCCUCCAUGAUUUAAAAUGACCUUCAGCUCUAAUGAUUGUAAUAAUUGUAUUAUUUCCUCUGCAGCCCAUCAGGUUCUGCAGGAGUUUUAAUCACUGGAUCAUUUAUGUCCUAAAGCUGCAGGACUUUGAGGACCAGGUUGGGGUCACUGAUCCAGUUGACCUCAGUUUGGUUUCUGCAGCUGUUACAGUUGAUAUCUUGAUGCAGUGAAAGUGAAUUUCUGUAUUUUGAACAAAUCAGUUUAAAGAAGCAGGAACACAUUUAUUAAACAUUUAUGCACA